RNAcentral lists this ribosomal RNA (429 nucleotides) under Gemmatimonadota bacterium. Its description in RNAcentral is "Gemmatimonadetes bacterium partial 16S ribosomal RNA". It matches the Rfam family "Bacterial small subunit ribosomal RNA", at positions 355 to 776 of the family's 1533-position model. The record is from RNAcentral. Lineage: Bacteria; Pseudomonadati; Gemmatimonadota.
UAGGGAAUCUUCGGCAAUGGACGAAAGUCUGACCGAGCAACGCCGCGUGAGUGAAGAAGGUUUUCGGAUCGUAAAACUCUGUUGUUAGAGAAGAACAAGGACGUUAGUAACUGAACGUCCCCUGACGGUAUCUAACCAGAAAGCCACGGCUAACUACGUGCCAGCAGCCGCGGUAAUACGUAGGUGGCAAGCGUUGUCCGGAUUAAUUGGGCGUAAAGCGAGCGCAGGCGGUUUCUUAAGUCUGAUGUGAAAGCCCCCGGCUCAACCGGGGAGGGUCAUUGGAAACUGGGAGACUUGAGUGCAGAAGAGGAGAGUGGAAUUCCAUGUGUAGCGGUGAAAUGCGUAGAUAUAUGGAGGAACACCAGUGGCGAAGGCGGCUCUCUGGUCUGUAACUGACGCUGAGGCUCGAAAGCGUGGGGAGCAAACAGG